Molecule: ribosomal RNA, 398 nt
Filed under: uncultured bacterium
Lineage: Bacteria
Description: partial 16S ribosomal RNA
Rfam family: Bacterial small subunit ribosomal RNA
Source: RNAcentral
AUACGUAGGGUGCGAGCGUUGUCCGGAAUUACUGGGCGUAAAGAGCUCGUAGGUGGUUUGUCGCGUCGUCUGUGAAAUUCCGGGGCUUAACUCCGGGCGUGCAGGCGAUACGGGCAUAACUUGAGUACUGUAGGGGAGACUGGAAUUCCUGGUGUAGCGGUGAAAUGCGCAGAUAUCAGGAGGAACACCGGUGGCGAAGGCGGGUCUCUGGGCAGUAACUGACGCUGAGGAGUGAAAGCAUGGGUAGCGAACAGGAUUAGAUACCCUGGUAGUCCAUGCCGUAAACGGUGGGCGCUAGGUGUAGGGGUCUUCCACGACUUCUGUGCCGUAGCUAACGCAUUAAGCGCCCCGCCUGGGGAGUACGGCCGCAAGGCUAAAACUCAAAGGAAUUGACGGGG